CCUACGGGAGGCAGCGGUGGGGAAUAUUGGACAAUGGGCGAAACCCUGAUCCAGCGACGCCGCGUGCGUGAAGACGUAUUUCGGUAUUUUAAGCUGCAUCUGUAGGGGAGAAAAUCACGGUACGUGAUUAAGGAGCACCGGCUAACUACGUGCCAGCAGCCGCGGUAAUAUGUCGGGUGCCAGCGUUAUCCGGAUUUACUGGGUGUAAAGGGAGCGUAGACGGUAGCGCAAGUCUGAAGUGAAAUGCCGGGGCUUAACCCCGGAACUGCGUUGGAAACUGUGCAGCUAGAGUGCAGGAGAGGUAAGUGGAAUUCCUAGUGUAGCGGUGAAAUGCGUAGAGAUCAGGAGGAACACCAGUGGCGAAGGCAGCUUACUGGACUGUAACUGACGUUGAGGCUCGAAAGCGUGGGGAGCAAACAGGAUUAGAUACCCUAGUAGUC
RNAcentral lists this ribosomal RNA (440 nucleotides) under uncultured bacterium. RNAcentral's name for it is "partial 16S ribosomal RNA". It matches the Rfam family "Bacterial small subunit ribosomal RNA", at positions 338 to 795 of the family's 1533-position model. The record is from RNAcentral.